RNAcentral lists this ribosomal RNA (435 nucleotides) under uncultured bacterium. RNAcentral's name for it is "partial 16S ribosomal RNA". It matches the Rfam family "Bacterial small subunit ribosomal RNA", at positions 28 to 507 of the family's 1533-position model. The record is from RNAcentral.
GAUGAACGCUGGCGGUAUGCUUAACACAUGCAAGUCGAACGGACUCUUCGGAGUUAGUGGCGGACGGGUGAGUAACGCGUGAGAAUCUGGCUUUGGGUUCGGGACAACCACUGGAAACGGUGGCUAAUACCGGAUGUGCCGAGAGGUAAAAGAGAAAUUGCCUGCAGAUGAGCUCGCGUCUGAUUAGCUAGUUGGUGAGGUAAAGGCUCACCAAGGCAGCGAUCAGUAGCUGGUCUGAGAGGAUGACCAGCCACACUGGGACUGAGACACGGCCCAGACUCCUACGGGAGGCAGCAGUGGGGAAUUUUCCGCAAUGGGCGAGAGCCUGACGGAGCAAUACCGCGUGAGGGAAGAAGGCUCUUGGGUUGUAAACCUCUUUUCUUAGGGAAGAACAAAAUGACGGUACCUAAGGAAUCAGCAUCGGCUAACUCCGUG